UCGAGUGGCGGACGGGUGAGUAACGCGUGAACAAUCUGUCUCAAGCAGGGGGAUAACACUUGGAAACAGGUGCUAAUACCGCAUAAGACCACAGUGCCGCAUGGCACAGGGGUAAAAGGAGCAAUCCGGGUUGAGGUGAGUUCGCGUCCGAUUAGAUAGUUGGUGAGGUAACGGCCCACCAAGUCGACGAUCGGUAGCCGACCUGAGAGGGUGAUCGGCCACAUUGGAACUGAGAGACGGUCCAAACUCCUACGGGAGGCAGCAGUGGGGAAUAUUGGGCAAUGGGCGAAAGCCUGACCCAGCAACGCCGCGUGAGUGAAGGAGGCCUUCGGGUUGUAAAGCUCUGUGAUCGGGGACGAAGGAAGUGACGGUACCCGAAGAGGAAGCCCCGGCUAACUACGUGCCAGCAGCCGCGGUAAUACGUAGGGGGCGAGCGUUGUCCGGAAUGACUGGGCGUAAAGGGCGUGUAGGCGGCCGAUUAAGUCCGGAGUGAAAGUCCUGCUUUCAAGGUGGGAAUUGCUUUGGAGACUGGUUGGCUUGAGUGCGGAAGAGGUAAGUGGAAUUCCCAGUGUAGCGGUGAAAUGCGUAGAGAUUGGGAGGAACACCAGUGGCGAAGGCGACUUACUGGGCCGUAACUGACGCUGAGGCGCGAAAGCGUGGGGAGCGAACAGGAUUAGAUACCCUGGUAGUCCACGCUGUAAACGAUGAAUGCCAGGUGUUGCGGGUAUCGACCCCUGCAGUGCCGGAGUAAACACAAUAAGCAUUCCGCCUGGGGAGUACGGCCGCAAGGUUGAAACUCAAAGGAAUUGACGGGGGCCCGCACAAGCAGCGGAGCAUGUUGUUUAAUUCGAAGCAACGCGAAGAACCUUACCAUGUCUUGACAUCGAGGAAAAGUCACAGAGAUGUGAUGUGCCCUUCGGGGCGCCGAAGACAGGUGGUGCAUGGUUGUCGUCAGCUCGUGUCGUGAGAUGUUGGGUUAAGUCCCGCAACGAGCGCAACCCUUAUGGUCAGUUACUAACGCGUGAUGGCGAGGACUCUGACAAGACUGCCGGGGACAACUCGGAGGAAGGUGGGGACGACGUCAAAUCAUCAUGCCCCUUAUGACAUGGGCUACAAACGUGCUACAAUGGUGGCUACAAAGAGGAGCGAACCCGUAAGGGUGGGCAGAUCUCAAAAAAGCCAUCUCAGUUCGGACUGUGGGCUGCAACCCGCCCACACGAAGUUGGAGUUGCUAGUAAUCGCGGAUCAGCAUGCCGCGGUGAAUACGUUCCCGGGCCUUGUACACACCGCCCGUCACACCACGGGAGUUGGGAGCGCCCGAAGCCGGUGAGCGAACCGAAAGGGAGCAGCCG
Molecule: ribosomal RNA, 1352 nt
Filed under: uncultured bacterium
Lineage: Bacteria
Description: 16S ribosomal RNA
Rfam family: Bacterial small subunit ribosomal RNA
Source: RNAcentral